AGAGUUUGAUCCUGGCUCAGCGCGAACGCUGGCGGCAUGGUUAAAGCAUGCAAGUCGAACGAUUAAAGCCCCUUCGGGGGUGUAUAAAGUGGCGUAAGGGCGAGGAAUACAUUUCUACGUACCCCGAGGUCGAGGAUAGCCCAGGGAAACUUGGAGUAAUACUCGAUGUGGUGCUUCGGCAUCAAAGGCUUCGGUCGCCUUGGGAGCGGGGAAUGUCCUAUCAGGUUGUUGGUGAGGUAACGGCUCACCAAGCCUUUGACGGGUAGCGGGUGUGAGAGCAUGACCCGCCGCAUCGGGACUGAGACACUGCCCGGACUCCUACGGGAGGCUGCAGCAACGAAUCUUCCGCAAUGCGCGAAAGCGUGACGGAGCAAUGCCGCGUGCAGGAUGAAGCCCCUAGGGGUGUAAACUGCUGUCAGAGUUCAGCAACCCAAUGAGCAGACUCAAAGGAAGGGCCGGCUAACUUCGUGCCAGCAGCCGCGGUAAUACGAAGGGCCCGAGCGUUGCGCGGAAUCACUGGGCUUAAAGCGUACGUAGGCGGACAUGCAGGCAUCUUGUGAAAUCCCUCGGCUCAACCGAGGAACUGCAGGGUGAACCGCAUGUCUUGAGGUGAGUAGAGGCUGUCGGAACGAUAGGUGGAGCGGUGAAAUGCGUUGAUAUCUAUCGGAACGCCAAAGGCGAAGGCAGGCAGCUGGGCUUAUUCUGACGCUGAGGUACGAAAGCGUGGGGAGCGAACGGGAUUAGAUACCCCGGUAGUCCACGCCGUAAACGAUGUGCACUAGAUCGAGGGAGUUCUGACACUAUUCUCGGUCGAAGCAAAAGUGUUAAGUGCACCGCCUGGGGAGUACGGUCGCAAGGCUAAAACUCAAAGGAAUUGACGGG
RNAcentral lists this ribosomal RNA (882 nucleotides) under uncultured bacterium. RNAcentral describes it as "bacterial SSU rRNA". It matches the Rfam family "Bacterial small subunit ribosomal RNA", at positions 8 to 917 of the family's 1533-position model. The record is from RNAcentral.